GGCCUUGUAGUGAAAUUCAUGGUGGGUUGCAAGCUCAUUGAUGUGCAUUGGUUUGCACCGAGGUCU
RNAcentral lists this transfer RNA (66 nucleotides) under Leiothrix argentauris (silver-eared mesia). Its description in RNAcentral is "tRNA-Cys". The record is from RNAcentral. Lineage: Eukaryota; Metazoa; Chordata; Aves; Passeriformes; Leiothrichidae.